ACGUAGGAGGCUAGCGUUAUCCGGAUUUAUUGGGCGUAAAGCGCGUGCAGGCGGUUCGAUAAGUUGGAUGUGAAAUCUCCCGGCUUAACUGGGAGCGGUCGUUCAAAACUAUCAGACUAGAGAAUGGGAGAGGAAGGUGGAAUUCCGGGUGUAGUGGUGAAAUGCGUAGAUAUCCGGAGGAACACCAGUGGCGAAAGCGGCCUUCUAGACCAUUCUGACGCUAAGACGCGAAAGCUAGGGUAGCAAACGGGAUUAGAUACCCGCGUAGUCCCUGAGCGGG
RNAcentral lists this ribosomal RNA (280 nucleotides) under uncultured prokaryote. RNAcentral's name for it is "partial 16S ribosomal RNA". It matches the Rfam family "Bacterial small subunit ribosomal RNA", at positions 525 to 803 of the family's 1533-position model. The record is from RNAcentral.